Non-coding RNA from Lonchura striata (white-rumped munia), 1354 nucleotides. The record is from RefSeq and is a predicted model, not a curated record. NCBI's taxonomy places the organism in Eukaryota, Metazoa, Chordata, Aves, Passeriformes, Estrildidae.
GCCCACUGGAAACUGGAGAAGAUUUAUCCCUGAAGAAUGUCCUGGCUGCUUGUUCUUCCUCUGAACUCACGUUCUCAUAGUGACAAGGCAGAGGUAAAUUACAGCAAUCCCCACCCUGAAGAAGUUUAGAAGAGGCAGACCUGUUCCCAGAGGAACAAACGGGCUCUUUCUAAUGGCCCUCAAAUCUCUCUUCUUGCACUUGAGUUCAUCCUCCCGUGCUCCCUGCUCUGAAAAAGGCAGCUGGCAGUGAGCUCCAAGUCCUGCUUUUACCCACAUCUCCGAGGGGCUCAGAUGAUGGAAAACAGACAUGAAUGACUGUGGAACACACGGAGCUGAAUCUAGGCAAAAGAAAGUCAUCCUACAAGGACUCUGAGAGGUGGUGUGAUUAGAUGGGAUAUCAGGAAGCAAUUCUUCCCUGGGAGAGUGAGAAGCCCUGGCACAGGAUGCCCAGAGAAGCUGUGGCUGUCCCUGGAUCCCUGGAGGUGUCCAAGCCAGACUGGAUGGGGCUUGGAGCAACCUGGGCUGGUGGAAGGUGUCCCUGCCCAUGAUGAGGGAUGGGACUGGGUGAUUAUUAAGGUGCCUUCCAAGCCAAACAAUCUGGUAUUCCAUAAUUUUCUGAUCUGUUAUGGCCACAAGCUUAGUCACCCCUGUGAAAGAACCAGAGAGAGACAUGGAGGUACCCAACAUCUGGGCAGGAAUCGAUUGCCAAGUCAAAAGGAAUUAAUUUUGUAACUCCAAUGGUGAAAUUCAGGUUUGUGUCAUAGUUACCAGCAUGCUGUAGCUUGAUACGUUGUGUCUGUGUCCACACUCAAGUGUGAAGUAAUAAAAAACAUCACAAAUCAGAGUUAGUAAAUAAGUUGAAUUAUAUAUCCUCACAGAAGGAAUGGGGCCACUUCUGGCCUGUAGAAGAGUCUGAUCAAGCUCACUUUCUGCACUGGGAGAAAAAGAAAAUAUGGAUUUUUGAAAUAUUUUUCCCCAGCAGGCAAUAGUUCAGUGGUAAAUCCUUCAAACUAAUUUUGGGGAAUCAGAGACAGGAGUAAUGUACAUAUAAAAUCAGAAGUGACAAGAAUCCCUCACUGAGCUUUCUGGAAUGCUACCAGGAUGGAAUUGGUGACCAUUCCAGCCACAUAGGCAGACAUGAUAUGAGACUUAUGGAAUUAUACAAGAAAAGACUGCUCUGGUUAUAUAUUUUAACUCAAGUCAGGAUUAAAACUGUUCUGUGGGUUUUUAUUUAAAAAACAAGUAAUGAGAUGGCAAUCCCAGAGCUAUACAUUUAUAAUCAAUAGCAGCAAUAUGACACCUAAUGGCAUUACUGCACACUCAACAGCUGUUAAUAAAACCUUAUAAAUGUCUA